GGGUUGUGAGGUUAAGCGACUAAGCGUACACGGUGGAUGCCCUGGCAGUCAGAGGCGAUGAAGGACGUAGUGGAAGCGUCUGGAAAGGCGCGCGAUACAGGGUGACAGCCCCGUACACAAAAAUGCACAUAYUGUGAGCUCGAUGAGUAGGGCGGGACACGUGGUAUCCUGUCUGAAUAUGGGGGGACCAUCCUCCAAGGCUAAAUACUCCUGACUGACCGAUAGUGAACCAGUACCGUGAGGGAAAGGCGAAAAGAACCCCGGCGAGGGGAGUGAAAAAGAACCUGAAACCGUGUACGUACAAGCAGUGGGAGCCUCUUUAUGGGGUGACUGCGUACCUUUUGUAUAAUGGGUCAGCGACUUAUAUUCUGUAGCAAGGUUAACCGAAUAGGGGAGCCGAAGGGAAACCGAGUCUUAACUGGGCGUUAAGUUGCAGGGUAUAGACCCGAAACCCGGUGAUCUAGCCAUGGGCAGGUUGAAGGUUGGGUAACACUAACUGGAGGACCGAACCGACUAAUGUUGAAAAAUUAGCGGAUGACUUGUGGCUGGGGGUGAAAGGCCAAUCAAACCGGGAGAUAGCUGGUUCUCCCCGAAAGCUAUUUAGGUAGCGCCUCGUGAAUUCAUCUCCGGGGGUAGAGCACUGUUUCGGCAAGGGGGUCAUCCCGACUUACCAACCCGAUGCAAACUGCGAAUACCGGAGAAUGUUAUCACGGGAGACACACGGCGGGUGCUAACGUCCGUCGUGAAGAGGGAAACAACCCAGACCGCCAGCUAAGGUCCCAAAGUCAUGGUUAAGUGGGAAACGAUGUGGGAAGGCCCAGACAGCCAGGAUGUUGGCUUAGAAGCAGCCAUCAUUUAAAGAAAGCGUAAUAGCUCACUGGUCGAGUCGGCCUGCGCGGAAGAUGUAACGGGGCUAAACCAUGCACCGAAGCUGCGGCAGCGACACUAUGUGUUGUUGGGUAGGGGAGCGUUCUGUAAGCCUGUGAAGGUGUGCUGUGAGGUAUGCUGGAGGUAUCAGAAGUGCGAAUGCUGACAUAAGUAACGAUAAAGCGGGUGAAAAGCCCGCUCGCCGGAAGACCAAGGGUUCCUGUCCAACGUUAAUCGGGGCAGGGUGAGUCGACCCCUAAGGCGAGGCCGAAAGGCGUAGUCGAUGGGAAACAGGUUAAUAUUCCUGUACUUGGUGUUACUGCGAAGGGGGGACGGAGAAGGCUAUGUUGGCCGGGCGACGGUUGUCCCGGUUUAAGCGUGUAGGCUGGUUUUCCAGGCAAAUCCGGAAAAUCAAGGCUGAGGCGUGAUGACGAGGCACUACGGUGCUGAAGCAACAAAUGCCCUGCUUCCAGGAAAAGCCUCUAAGCAUCAGGUAACAUCAAAUCGUACCCCAAACCGACACAGGUGGUCAGGUAGAGAAUACCAAGGCGCUUGAGAGAACUCGGGUGAAGGAACUAGGCAAAAUGGUGCCGUAACUUCGGGAGAAGGCACGCUGAUAUGUAGGUGAAGUCCCUUGCGGAUGGAGCUGAAAUCAGUCGAAGAUACCAGCUGGCUGCAACUGUUUAUUAAAAACACAGCACUGUGCAAACACGAAAGUGGACGUAUACGGUGUGACGCCUGCCCGGUGCCGGAAGGUUAAUUGAUGGGGUUAGCGGUAACGCGAAGCUCUUGAUCGAAGCCCCGGUAAACGGCGGCCGUAACUAUAACGGUCCUAAGGUAGCGAAAUUCCUUGUCGGGUAAGUUCCGACCUGCACGAAUGGCGUAAUGAUGGCCAGGCUGUCUCCACCCGAGACUCAGUGAAAUUGAACUCGCUGUGAAGAUGCAGUGUACCCGCGGCAAGACGGAAAGACCCCGUGAACCUUUACUAUAGCUUGACACUGAACAUUGARCCUUGAUGUGUAGGAUAGGUGGGAGGCUUUGAAGUGUGGACGCCAGUCUGCAUGGAGCCGACCUUGAAAUACCACCCUUUAAUGUUUGAUGUUCUAACGUUGGCCCCURAUCGGGGUUGCGGACAGUGUCUGGUGGGUAGUUUGACUGGGGCGGUCUCCUCCUAAAGAGUAACGGAGGAGCACGAAGGUUGGCUAAUCCUGGUCGGACAUCAGGAGGUUAGUGCAAUGGCAUAAGCCAGCUURACUGCGAGCGUGACGGCGCGAGCAGGUGCGAAAGCAGGUCAUAGUGAUCCGGUGGUUCUGAAUGGAAGGGCCAUCGCUCAACGGAUAAAAGGUACUCCGGGGAUAACAGGCUGAUACCGCCCAAGAGUUCAUAUCGACGGCGGUGUUUGGCACCUCGAUGUCGGCUCAUCACAUCCUGGGGCUGAAGUAGGUCCCAAGGGUAUGGCUGUUCGCCAUUUAAAGUGGUACGCGAGCUGGGUUUAGAACGUCGUGAGACAGUUCGGUCCCUAUCUGCCGUGGGCGCUGGAGAACUGAGGGGGGCUGCUCCUAGUACGAGAGGACCGGAGUGGACGCAUCACUGGUGUUCGGGUUGUCAUGCCAAUGGCACUGCCCGGUAGCUAAAUGCGGAAGAGAUAAGUGCUGAAAGCAUCUAAGCACGAAACUUGCCCCGAGAUGAGUUCUCCCUGACCCUUUAAGGGUCCUGAAGGAACGUUGAAGACGACGACGUUGAUAGGCCGGGUGUGUAAGCGCAGCGAUGCGUUGAGCUAACCGGUACUAAUGAACCGUGAGGCUUAACCUUACAACGCCGAAG
Molecule: ribosomal RNA, 2691 nt
Filed under: Escherichia coli
Lineage: Bacteria; Pseudomonadati; Pseudomonadota; Gammaproteobacteria; Enterobacterales; Enterobacteriaceae
Description: bacterial LSU rRNA
Rfam family: Bacterial large subunit ribosomal RNA
Source: RNAcentral